GACGAACGCUGGCGGCGUGCUUAACACAUGCAAGUCGAACGGAAAGGCCCUGCUUUUGUGGGGUGCUCGAGUGGCGAACGGGUGAGUAACACGUGAGUAACCUGCCCUUGACUUUGGGAUAACUUCAGGAAACUGGGGCUAAUACCGGAUAGGAGCUCCUGCUGCAUGGUGGGGGUUGGAAAGUUUCGGCGGUUGGGGAUGGACUCGCGGCUUAUCAGCUUGUUGGUGGGGUAGUGGCUUACCAAGGCUUUGACGGGUAGCCGGCCUGGGAGGGUGACCGGCCACAUUGGGCCUGAGAUACGGCCCAGACUCCUACGGGAGGCAGCGGUGGGGAAUAUUGCACAAUGGGCGGAAGCCUGAUGCAGCAACGCCGCGUGCGGGAUGACGGCCUUCGGGUUGUAAACCGCUUUCGCCUGUGACGAAGCGUGAGUGACGGUAAUGGGUAAAGAAGCACCGGCUAACUACGUG
RNAcentral lists this ribosomal RNA (468 nucleotides) under uncultured bacterium. RNAcentral's name for it is "partial 16S ribosomal RNA". It matches the Rfam family "Bacterial small subunit ribosomal RNA", at positions 28 to 507 of the family's 1533-position model. The record is from RNAcentral.